This 492-nucleotide ribosomal RNA is filed under the name uncultured bacterium. RNAcentral's name for it is "partial 16S ribosomal RNA". It matches the Rfam family "Bacterial small subunit ribosomal RNA", at positions 29 to 507 of the family's 1533-position model. The record is from RNAcentral.
AGUGAACGCUGGCGGUAGGCCUAACACAUGCAAGUCGAACGGCAGCACAGUAAGAGUUUGCUCUUACGGGUGGCGAGUGGCGGACGGGUGAGGAAUACAUCGGAAUCUUCUUUUUCGUGGGGGAUAACGUAGGGAAACUUACGCUAAUACCGCAUAUGAUCUACGGGUGAAAGCAGGGGAUCUUCGCACCUUGCGCGACUGAAUGAGCCGAUGUCGGAUUAGCUAGUUGGCGGGGUAAAGGCCCACCAAGGCGACGAUCCGUAGCUGGUCUGAGAGGAUGAUCAGCCACACUGGAACUGAGACACGGUCCAGACUCCUACGGGAGGCAGCAGUGGGGAAUAUUGGACAAUGGGCGCAAGCCUGAUCCAGCCAUGCCGCGUGGGUGAAGAAGGCCUUCGGGUUGUAAAGCCCUUUUGUUGGGAAAGAAAAGCAGCAGGUUAAUACCCCGCUGUUCUGACGGUACCCAAAGAAUAAGCACCGGCUAACUUCGUG